AGGACAGAGUUAAUUUCUUUUCUUCGGAAAUCCCGAAAGGAAACUUCUCACUAAAGCUCAUGAAUGUAAGUAUGGAAGAUAAAGGAGAAUUCGUGUGUGAGGUCCACACCAGGAACAUGUCAGGACUUACCACUGUGUUUCUGGAAAGAAUUGGUAAUAGCACUCAUUUUGUUUUUCAUUCAGACAUGUGUGCUAAGCACCACUUAAAUUUUCUCCUGAAAAUGUAACUUCUACUUUAUCACAUUCCUACAGGUUUCUCUGCACUUCAUGUAUCCAUAUUAGCUUUGUGCUCUGUUGCACUGUUGCUUUCAAUGGAAUUGUGUCUUCCUGCUUUCCACAAUUUGAGAAGGAAUGUUCCUAACAGGAAAUGCAUGACGAUGUACGCUUUGCUUAUUCUUUGUCCAAAUAUCUGCGUCUGUGUUGCUUUUGGAUUGUGGUCAUCAGAAGGGAUUUUCUCAGAGGUCAUCAUUUGUUCAGCUGUCAGUAUCGGACGACCCAUCAUGCUGAUGAAGACCCCCGCCUUAUCUUGACGGAUUACCCUAGCCUGUGCAAAAAGUUGUGAAGUCUUUGGCUGUACCGCUUUACUACUCCAUUCUAGCAAUGGCUACAUGUUCAGGCUCAGACGGCAUAUGAACAUAUGAUAAGAUUAAUGGCGGUGGUAAUAGCUGUGUCUGUCAUCAGAGCUGUCAUUUUAGCAACCACUACCCAACACCCACCACCACCCAACACCCAAACCAUCACUAUCACAACCACUAUCCCACCCAACACCCCACUAAACACCCCAACCACCACCAUCUCCACCACC
Hemibagrus wyckioides is the source of this 805-nucleotide long non-coding RNA. RefSeq lists it as uncharacterized. The transcript is spliced from 6 exons. The record is from RefSeq and is a predicted model, not a curated record. Lineage: Eukaryota; Metazoa; Chordata; Actinopteri; Siluriformes; Bagridae.